UUCACUAAAGCCCUAGCGAUAAAGGAGUUCGACAAUCACAAGUCGAAGAUGGGUAUUAGAUACUGUGUCAAGUGGCUUUAGGAUAAGUGAGAGUUAUUGAAAAAUAUGUCUCAAAAGCUAAUCAUUAACCUGUUGACGGUUGAACAACCUUGUAUUAUAAUUAAUUUGUUAAUAAGUAAAAUAUAUUUUUUGACAUUUUCAUUAUAAGUUUUCAUCUUUUAAUGAACUC
RNAcentral lists this long non-coding RNA (229 nucleotides) under Elaeis guineensis (African oil palm). RNAcentral's name for it is "long non-coding RNA (EGUI_LNC062171)". Lineage: Eukaryota; Viridiplantae; Streptophyta; Magnoliopsida; Arecales; Arecaceae. The record is from RNAcentral.